ACGGAAUAGAUACCCUGGUAGUCCACGCUGUAAACGAUGAUUACUCGAUGUUGGCGAUACACAGUCAGCGUCUGAGCGAAAGCAAUAAGUAAUCCACCUGGGGAGUACGAUCGCAAGAUUGAAACUCAAAGGAAUUGACGGGGGCCCGCACAAGCGGAGGAGCAUGUGGUUUAAUUCGAUGAUACGCGAGGAACCUUACCUGGGCUCGAACGUAAGAUGACUGUAGGUGAAAGCUUACAUCUCUUCGGAGCAUUUUACGAGGUGCUGCAUGGUUGUCGUCAGCUCGUGCCGUGAGGUGUCGGGUUAAGUCCCAUAACGAGCGCAACCCCUACCUUUAGUUGCCAACAGGUCAUGCUGGGGACUCUAAAGGAACUGCCUACGCAAGUAGUGAGGAAGGCGGGGAUGACGUCAAAUCAGCACGGCCCUUACGUCCAGGGCUACACACGUGCUACAAUGGCCGAUACAGAGGGCAGCUACCUGGUGACAGGAUGCAAAUCUCCAAAGUCGGUCUCAGUUCGGA
This 520-nucleotide ribosomal RNA is filed under the name uncultured bacterium. RNAcentral describes it as "bacterial SSU rRNA". It matches the Rfam family "Bacterial small subunit ribosomal RNA", at positions 772 to 1297 of the family's 1533-position model. The record is from RNAcentral.